This 884-nucleotide long non-coding RNA is filed under the name Salmo salar (Atlantic salmon). RNAcentral's name for it is "lncRNA (ENSSSAG00000088732.1)". Lineage: Eukaryota; Metazoa; Chordata; Actinopteri; Salmoniformes; Salmonidae. The record is from RNAcentral.
AGUAGCAGGUCUAGUAAUGGGGUAGAUAUGGCAGUAGCAGGUCAUUAUUUGAUCUAGUAAUGGGGGAAGAUAUGGCAGUAGCAGCUCAUUAUUUGAUCUAGUAAUGGGGGAAGAUAUGGCAGUAGCAGCUCAUUAUUUGAUCUAGUAAUGGGGGGAGAUAUGGCAGUAGCAGCUCAUUAUUUGAUCUAGUAAUGGGGGGAAGAUAUGGCAGUAGCAGCUCAUUAUUUGAUCUAGUAAUGGGGGGUGAUAUGGCAGUAGCAGCUCAUUAUUUGAUCUAGUAAUGGGGGGAAGAUAUGGCAGUAGCAGCUCAUUAUUUGAUCUAGUAAUGGGGGGAGAUAUGGCAGUAGCAGGUCUAGUAAUGGGGGGUAGAUAUGGCAGUAGCAGCUCAUUAUUUGAUCUAAUAGUGGGGGUAGAUAUGGCAGUAGCAGCUCAUUAUUUGAUCUAGUAAUGGGGGAAGAUAUGGCAGUGGCAGGUCUAGUAAUGGGGGUAGAUAUGGCAGUAGCAGGUCUAGUAAUGGGGGGGUAGAUAUGGCAGUAGCAGGUCUAGUAAUGGGGGGUAGAUAUGGCAGUAGCAGGUCUAGUAAUGGGGGGUAGAUAUGGCAGUAGCAGGUCUAGUAAUGGGGGUAGAUAUGGCAGUAGCAGGUCUAGUAAUGGGGGUAGAUAUGGCAGUAUCUCUUUCCAUCAUUCAGGACUGGGGGGGGGUUCCUUCUCUGACCUUCAUUCAGGAAAGACAACAGUUGGGAAUACCGUCACUAAACCUCUAAGAAACGAAAAGAAAAAGCCAUCUUUCUAGCAAAAACAACAAUGUAUUGGUUAAAGGCUUUGGACAAUAUGUGGCAAAACAGCAUAUCUUUAUGAGUUAAAGAGAAACAAGGAUGUUUCGUA